Molecule: ribosomal RNA, 563 nt
Filed under: Salmonella enterica subsp. enterica serovar Brandenburg
Lineage: Bacteria; Pseudomonadati; Pseudomonadota; Gammaproteobacteria; Enterobacterales; Enterobacteriaceae
Description: partial 23S ribosomal RNA
Rfam family: Bacterial large subunit ribosomal RNA
Source: RNAcentral
GUCUUAAUUGGGCGUUAAGUUGCAGGGUAUAGACCCGAAACCCGGUGAUCUAGCCAUGGGCAGGUUGAAGGUUGGGUAACACUAACUGGAGGACCGAACCGACUAAUGUUGAAAAAUUAGCGGAUGACCUGUGGCUGGGGGUGAAAGGCCAAUCAAACCGGGAGAUAGCUGGUUCUCCCCGAAAGCUAUUUAGGUAGCGCCUCGUGAAUUCAUCUCCGGGGGUAGAGCACUGUUUCGGCUAGGGGGCCAUCCCGGCUUACCAACCCGAUGCAAACUGCGAAUACCGGAGAAUGUUAUCACGGGAGACACACGGCGGGUGCUAACGUCCGUCGUGAAGAGGGAAACAACCCAGACCGCCAGCUAAGGUCCCAAAGUCAUGGUUAAGUGGGAAACGAUGUGGGAAGGCCCAGACAGCCAGGAUGUUGGCUUAGAAGCAGCCAUCAUUUAAAGAAAGCGUAAUAGCUCACUGGUCGAGUCGGCCUGCGCGGAAGAUGUAACGGGGCUAAACCAUGCACCGAAGCUGCGGCAGCGACACUCAGGUGUUGUUGGGUAGGGGAGCGUUC